UGUUCCUCUUAGCUCAAAUGGGUUUUCUAUAGCAAAAGAGAGAAUGAAAAACAUAUCUCUGCUCAAAUCUUGGAAAAGGAAGGAAGAAAAACUCAUUCCUCUUUGCUCAAAUCUGGGAAAAGGGAAGAAGAAAAAAAUCGUUCCUCUUUGUUCAAAUCUGUGAAAAGGGAGGAAGAAGUAGUGUCUAUUGGUUUAAUAUUUCGUCAAAUCUAUUGGAAUAGGGUUUUUUGCUGAAUAUUCUUCAAUUUUUCACUAAUAGGGUUCUCUAAAGUAUAUAUUGCAUCAGGAAUAGGGUUCUCUAAAGUCAAAGGAGGAAGGGAAAAAGUUCAUAAUUUGAAAAUCAGUGUGAGAGUGUCUCGUUCAAUUGAACUUGUUCUUUGGUUGAAGUUUUGAAGGGUCAGCUCCAACAACUUGUUAUUGAACAACAAUCUGAAGAGAUCGAGCAUCGCAUGACUAGGGGUGAUAUCUUAUCUUCAGUUCUUGGUGAGAGAUCAGGCUAUAUUUGGGGGGAAAUGAUACGGAAAGACACCUCCUAAAAAGACUCAAAUACAUAAGGCAUAUAUAGAGGCUAGUGUGUCUUCAGCGAUGGAAAGUAUGCGUCAAGAGAUGCAAGCUGAUAUGGAUCGAAAAUUGCAAGAACAACGAAAGCAAAUGACUGCUGAUUUAAAAAGAAAUAUGGAAGAAGAUUUGCUAAAAAAAUUGGAAGAGGAGCGUGAACACAUGAAAGGCGAAGUGGACAAGAUGUUUCAAGAACAAAUGGCCGCUAUCAUGAUUAGAAUGCAAUAGGGACAAGGUUCUUAAACAAUGGGGCAAGAUCAAGAAGUAGUUUUAAGGCGUGCAAUGGAAGUUUUUGCUUUUGGCCAUAUGUAUAUGGUUACAACGAUAAUUGAACUACU
Long non-coding RNA from Solanum tuberosum (potato), 896 nucleotides. RefSeq lists it as uncharacterized. The record is from RefSeq and is a predicted model, not a curated record. NCBI's taxonomy places the organism in Eukaryota, Viridiplantae, Streptophyta, Magnoliopsida, Solanales, Solanaceae. The transcript is spliced from 4 exons.